Molecule: small nuclear RNA, 107 nt
Filed under: Catagonus wagneri (Chacoan peccary)
Lineage: Eukaryota; Metazoa; Chordata; Mammalia; Artiodactyla; Tayassuidae
Source: RNAcentral
GUGUUCACUUUGGCAGCACAUAUACUAAAAUUGGAACGAUACAGCAAAGAUUAGCAUGGUCCCUGUACAAGGAUGACACACAAAUUCGUGAAGCAUUCCAUAUAUAU